UACGGGGGGAGCAAGCGUUGUUCGGAUUUACUGGGCGUAAAGGGCGCGUAGGCGGUCAGCACAAGUCAGUUGUGAAAUCUCCGGGCUUAACUCGGAAAGGUCAACUGAUACUGUGCGACUAGAGUGCGGAAGGGGCAACUGGAGUUCUCGGUGUAGCGGUGAAAUGCGUAGAUAUCGAGAGGAACACCUGCGGCGAAGGCGGGUUGCUGGGCCGACACUGACGCUGAUGCGCGAAAGCCAGGGGAGCGAACGGG
This 254-nucleotide ribosomal RNA is filed under the name uncultured bacterium. Its description in RNAcentral is "partial 16S ribosomal RNA". It matches the Rfam family "Bacterial small subunit ribosomal RNA", at positions 524 to 776 of the family's 1533-position model. The record is from RNAcentral.